AAAUAAUAAAAAACUAUAUAGAUAUAACUUAACAAAAAUGAAAAAUAAAUUAAGAGUAAAAACUAUAAUCUGAUGAAAAGUGUCCAAAUAGUUCAUUAAUUACUGGUAGGUGUGGGUCUCUCUAAUUGGUGAGAGAAUGUAAAAACCCGGAGCACAUUUUCAAAUAAGUGAUUUCAGAACACUUCGAGUGGAAUGAAGAAAUCCAUUCUGUCGCUCCGUUCCAUUCAUACACGGUGCUCCAGGCCGGAUUUUAGUAUGUGCGUUGCUGCUUGGAUACACGCAAAACUUGACCGUUUGGCUUCUUUUAAACCAUUUCCAACUAACUGACGAAUUUUUGCCUGAAAACACUAGCAAUAUCACACACAGUGAUGGAGACAGCACUUACAUGAAUGGCAUAACGUGUUGGCUGUGAAACGUCAAGAUGAAGGAGGGUUACAGAAUUACAGACAUAAGAGGGCAGGUGAUGAAGAUGAAGAAGGAAGACACAGGAACCCCCAUACAAACAGAAUGCACAAUGUUUAAACAGAUAGGACACAUCCGGCCAGUAUCACACACGCUUGUGUACAUAUCCUGUUGAGGAAAGAAACACAGACACGAAAACAAGUAAAGAUAAUGAUUUUUAUAUUCAAUUUUUUGCUAAAGGCCCUGUUCUAUUAGACUGGGAUAUUAUCCCAGCAUGCAUCAGUGGCCGCCCACUCUCACAAACUUAAACAUACAAAACGCCCCAUAAACGGCUGAUUUUUACAGAAGAAGGUUUUGUUGUUUAAGGACUCUGUGUAAUUAGUAGGACAGUUAGAAUUUGCAAUGAGCUGACAGGUCUGAUUAAACUGCAGUAAAUUGUUCGUUUGAGUAAAAAUCUUUUAACUUCAAUAAUUCAGAGAGAGAGAGAGACCAGAGUAGGACCAUCUAUCAUACUGAAGCUAAUUAAUAGAGUUGUAUAAUAAAGAGCCUGGGAGUGGAAGGCA
Long non-coding RNA from Cyprinus carpio (common carp), 965 nucleotides. NCBI's taxonomy places the organism in Eukaryota, Metazoa, Chordata, Actinopteri, Cypriniformes, Cyprinidae. The record is from Ensembl.